Molecule: ribosomal RNA, 433 nt
Filed under: uncultured bacterium
Lineage: Bacteria
Description: partial 16S ribosomal RNA
Rfam family: Bacterial small subunit ribosomal RNA
Source: RNAcentral
AACGAACGCUGGCGGCAUGCCUAACACAUGCAAGUCGAACGAGACCUUCGGGUCUAGGGGCGCACGGGGGCGUAACGCGUGGGAACCUGCCCGUAGGUUCGGAAUAACUCCCCGAAGGGGGUGCUAAUACCGGAGAAUGUCUUCGGACCAAGGAUUUAUCGCCUUUGGAUGGGCCCGCGUUGGAUUAGCUAGUUGGUAGGGUAAAAGCCUACCAAGGCGACGAUCCAUAGCUGGUCUGAGAGGAUGAUCAGCCACACUGGGACUGAGACACGGCCCAGACUCCUACGGGAGGCAGCAGUGGGGAAUAUUGGACAAUGGGCGAAAGCCUGAUCCAGCAAUGCCGCGUGAGUGAUGAAGGCCUUAGGGUUGUAAAGCUCUUUUACCCGGGAUGAUAAUGACAGUACCGGGAGAAUAAGCUCCGGCUAACUCCGUG